Molecule: ribosomal RNA, 353 nt
Filed under: uncultured bacterium
Lineage: Bacteria
Description: bacterial SSU rRNA
Rfam family: Bacterial small subunit ribosomal RNA
Source: RNAcentral
CACAGCAGAGCUUGCUCUGUGGGUGGCGAGUGGCGGACGGGUGAGGAAUACAUGGGAAUCUGCCCAGUCGUGGGGGAUAACGUAGGGAAACUUACGCUAAUACCGCAUGCGCCCUUCGGGGGAAAGCCGGGGACCUUCGGGCCUGGCGCGAUUGGAUGAGCCCAUGUCGGAUUAGCUAGUUGGUGGGGUAAAGGCCCACCAAGGCGACGAUCCGUAGCUGGUCUGAGAGGAUGAUCAGCCACACUGGAACUGAGACACGGUCCAGACUCCUACGGGAGGCAGCAGUAGGGAAUAUUGGACAAUGGGCGCAAGCCUGAUCCAGCCAUGCCGCGUGUGUGAAGAAGGCCUUCGGG